UAGGGAAUCUUCCGCAAUGGGCGAAAGCCUGACGGAGCAACGCCGCGUGAGCGAUGAAGGUCUUCGGAUCGUAAAACUCUGUUAUUAGGGAAGAACAAAUGUGUAAGUAACUAUGCACGUCUUGACGGUACCUAAUCAGAAAGCCACGGCUAACUACGUGCCAGCAGCCGCGGUAAUACGUAGGUGGCAAGCGUUAUCCGGAAUUAUUGGGCGUAAAGCGCGCGUAGGCGGUUUUUUAAGUCUGAUGUGAAAGCCCACGGCUCAACCGUGGAGGGUCAUUGGAAACUGGAAAACUUGAGUGCAGAAGAGGAAAGUGGAAUUCCAUGUGUAGCGGUGAAAUGCGCAGAGAUAUGGAGGAACACCAGUGGCGAAGGCGACUUUCUGGUCUGUAACUGACGCUGAUGUGCGAAAGCGUGGGGAUCAAACAGG
This 429-nucleotide ribosomal RNA is filed under the name Actinomycetes bacterium. RNAcentral describes it as "Actinobacteria bacterium partial 16S ribosomal RNA". It matches the Rfam family "Bacterial small subunit ribosomal RNA", at positions 355 to 776 of the family's 1533-position model. The record is from RNAcentral. Lineage: Bacteria; Bacillati; Actinomycetota; Actinomycetes.